RNAcentral lists this ribosomal RNA (407 nucleotides) under uncultured bacterium. RNAcentral describes it as "partial 16S ribosomal RNA". It matches the Rfam family "Bacterial small subunit ribosomal RNA", at positions 30 to 526 of the family's 1533-position model. The record is from RNAcentral.
AUUGAACGCUGGCGGCAGGCCUAACACAUGCAAGUCGAGCGGAGCGGCGGACGGGUGAGUAAUGCCUAGGAAUCUGCCUGGUAGUGGGGGAUAACGUCCGGAAACGGGCGCUAAUACCGCAUACUAUCAGAUGAGCCUAGGUCGGAUUAGCUAGAUGGUGGGGUAAAGCUCUUACAAGGCGCCGCUCCGUAACUGGUCUGAGAGGAUGAUCAGUCACACUGGAACGUAGAUACGGUCCAGACGCCUACGGGAGGCAGCAGGGGGGAAUAUGGGAAAAUGGGCGAAAUCCUUAUCCAGCCAUGCCGCGUGUGUGAAGAAGGUCUGUGGAUUGUAAAGCACUUUAAGUUGGGAGGCGUUACCAACAGAAUAAGCACCGGCUAACUUCGUGCCAGCAGACGCGGUAAUUC